Molecule: ribosomal RNA, 254 nt
Filed under: uncultured bacterium
Lineage: Bacteria
Description: partial 16S ribosomal RNA
Rfam family: Bacterial small subunit ribosomal RNA
Source: RNAcentral
UACGUAGGGGGCGAGCGUUGUCCGGGUUUAUUGGGCGUAAAGAGCUCGUAGGCGGUUUGGCAAGUCGGGUGUGAAAACUCCGGGCUCAACUCGGAGACGCCACUCGAUACUGCUAUGACUCGAGUCCGGUAGGGGAGUGCGGAAUUCCUGGUGUAGCGGUGAAAUGCGCAGAUAUCAGGAGGAACACCGGUGGCGAAGGCGGCACUCUGGGCCGGUACUGACGCUGAGGAGCGAAAGCGUGGGGAGCGAACAGG